RNAcentral lists this ribosomal RNA (417 nucleotides) under Corynebacterium sp. 2012407960. RNAcentral describes it as "bacterial SSU rRNA". It matches the Rfam family "Bacterial small subunit ribosomal RNA", at positions 37 to 454 of the family's 1533-position model. The record is from RNAcentral. Lineage: Bacteria; Bacillati; Actinomycetota; Actinomycetes; Mycobacteriales; Corynebacteriaceae.
UGGCGGCGUGCUUAACACAUGCAAGUCGAACGGAAAGGCCUCUGCUUGCAGGGGUACUCGAGUGGCGAACGGGUGAGUAACACGUGGGUGAUCUGCCCUGCACUUCGGGAUAAGCCUGGGAAACUGGGUCUAAUACCGGAUAGGACSAUGGUUUGGAUGSWAURGUGGAAAGUUUUUUCGGUGUGGGAUGAGCUCGCGGCCUAUCAGCUUGUUGGUGGGGUAAUGGCCUACCAAGGCGUCGACGGGUAGCCGGCCUGAGAGGGUGUACGGCCACAUUGGGACUGAGAUACGGCCCAGACUCCUACGGGAGGCAGCAGUGGGGAAUAUUGCACAAUGGGCGCAAGCCUGAUGCAGCGACGCCGCGUGGGGGAUGACGGCCUUCGGGUUGUAAACUCCUUUCGCUAGGGACGAAGCGCA